This 232-nucleotide ribosomal RNA is filed under the name uncultured Actinomycetales bacterium. RNAcentral describes it as "partial 16S ribosomal RNA". It matches the Rfam family "Bacterial small subunit ribosomal RNA", at positions 99 to 334 of the family's 1533-position model. Lineage: Bacteria; Bacillati; Actinomycetota; Actinomycetes; Actinomycetales. The record is from RNAcentral.
CGAACGGGUGAGUAACACGGUGGGUGAUCUGCCCUGCACUUCGGGAUAAGCUUGGGAAACUGGGUCUAAUACCGGAUAGGACCAUCGUUUAGUGUGGUGGUGGAAAGUUUUUUCGGUGUGGGAUGAGCUCGCGGCCUAUCAGCUUGUUGGUGGGGUAAUGGCCUACCAAGGCGUCGACGGGUAGCCGGCCUGAGAGGGUGUACGGCCACAUUGGGACUGAGAUACGGCCCAG